GAAGGUCCCCCACAUGGGAACUGAGACACCGUCCCAACUCCUACGGGAGGCAGCAGUGAGGAAUAUUGGUCAAUGGCCGGAAGGCUGAACCAGCCAAGUCGCGUGAGGGAAUAAGGCCCUACGGGUCGUAAACCUCUUUUGCCAGGGAGCAAUGCCGUCCACGUGUGACGGGAAGGAGAGUACCUGGAGAAAAAGCAUCGGCUAACUCCGUGCCAGCAGCCGCGGUAAUACGGAGGAUGCGAGCGUUAUCCGGAUUUAUUGGGUUUAAAGGGUGCGUAGGCGGCCUGCCAAGUCAGCGGUAAAAUUGCGGGGCUCAACCCCGUACAGCCGUUGAAACUGCCGGGCUCGAGUGGGCGAGAAGUAUGCGGAAUGCGUGGUGUAGCGGUGAAAUGCAUAGAUAUCACGCAGAACCCCGAUUGCGAAGGCAGCAUACCGGCGCCCGACUGACGCUGAGGCACGAAAGUGCGGGGAUCAAACAGGAUUAGAUACCCUGGUAGUCCGCACAGUAAACGAUGAAUGCUAGCUGUCCGGGGGGAUUGACCCCUGGGUGGCACAGC
Molecule: ribosomal RNA, 557 nt
Filed under: uncultured bacterium
Lineage: Bacteria
Description: bacterial SSU rRNA
Rfam family: Bacterial small subunit ribosomal RNA
Source: RNAcentral